Molecule: ribosomal RNA, 432 nt
Filed under: uncultured bacterium
Lineage: Bacteria
Description: bacterial SSU rRNA
Rfam family: Bacterial small subunit ribosomal RNA
Source: RNAcentral
CCUACGGGAGGCAGCAGUGAGGAAUAUUGGUCAAUGGUCGGGAGACUGAACCAGCCAAGCCGCGUGAGGGAGGAAGGUACAGAGUAUCGUAAACCUCUUUUGUCAGGGAACAAAGGCGGGGACGUGUCCCCGGAUGAGUGUACCUGAAGAAAAAGCAUCGGCUAACUCCGUGCCAGCAGCCGCGGUAAUACGGAGGAUGCGAGCGUUAUCCGGAUUUAUUGGGUUUAAAGGGUGCGUAGGCGGACUGUCAAGUCAGCGGUAAAAUACGGGGGCUCAACCUCCGCCCGCCGUUGAAACUGACGGUCUUGAGUGGGCGAGAAGUAUGCGGAAUGCGUGGUGUAGCGGUGAAAUGCAUAGAUAUCACGCAGAACUCCGAUUGCGAAGGCAGCAUACCGGCGCCCAACUGACGCUGAAGCACGAAAGCGUGGGUAU